This 250-nucleotide ribosomal RNA is filed under the name uncultured bacterium. RNAcentral's name for it is "partial 16S ribosomal RNA". It matches the Rfam family "Bacterial small subunit ribosomal RNA", at positions 779 to 1024 of the family's 1533-position model. The record is from RNAcentral.
UAGAUACCCUGGUAGUCCACGCCGUAAACGAUGGAUGCUAGCCGUUGGCAGGCUUGCCUGUCAGUGGCGCAGCUAACGCAUUAAGCAUCCCGCCUGGGGAGUACGGUCGCAAGAUUAAAACUCAAAGGAAUUGACGGGGGCCCGCACAAGCGGUGGAGCAUGUGGUUCAAUUCGAAGCAACGCGCAGAACCUUACCAACCUUUGACAUGUCCCGUAUGGGUACCAGAGAUGGAACCCUUCAGUUCGGCUG